AAGUGCUGCUUUGUGCUGUUCUAACACAUCCCGCAGAGGAACCGUCACAUGUUCCCGGUGUUCCCCCUCCGUGCACUCCAGGCACAUGGCUGUCUCGCACGACUCGCAGUAAAACUCCAUCACCUACAGAGGGCAACAGUGAAGAGAGGCUAACCUUGCCCUCGUGAUUGGGACAGGAGAGCGGUUUCCCUGCAGCCGCUGCGCUGACCGACUCCAGUACACUGCAGGCCUCGGGUCGGGAACAUUCGGGGUCUCUCUGCAGAACCUCCAUUAGGUUUGUGAUAAAGAAGUUAUUCUGCAGUGCUGCUACACCUUUCUCUGGUAAGAUGGAGGUCUGUCGACACACGGGGCAGGAGAGCGUGAGGGAUUGAGGAGGAAUGUAGUUCUGUAAACACCUGGAAGAGCAAAAAGAUGGAGAGAUACAAAAGCACCCUUUUAACACACAACACCUAGAUACAAAAUACCACAAUCAUCUCAUCCGGUCAUCUGCACAGAGGAAAAACAUUCGUGCCAAUGACUGUUAGUGAAUACUAAGCUUACUCUUUACAGUAACCACAAUUGGUUUAAAUAACCCAAAAGGCUUAAAGUAAAAGUAUGAUUUAUAAAAAACAUUCUUUAGUACAGACCUUUCACAGAAGGUGUGUAGGCAGGGCAGGACUUUGGGGUUGUGGUAGUGAUCCAGACAAAUACUGCACACCAGGAACUGCUUGUCUAUCUGCCGGACAACUGGGCUUGUGCGGCCAGUCUCGAACUUUGCCAUGGUGACAGACAUUCACAGAGAGGGACGGGUGCCGGGACACACCUUAACCUGAAAUAAAGACAUUUACAAACAUCUUACCAUAUAG
Non-coding RNA from Misgurnus anguillicaudatus (oriental weatherfish), 845 nucleotides. The record is from RefSeq and is a predicted model, not a curated record. NCBI's taxonomy places the organism in Eukaryota, Metazoa, Chordata, Actinopteri, Cypriniformes, Cobitidae.